CUCAAAUUUUCUUGUUAGCAUCAAGUAAAGGGAGAAUGAGCCCCGCAGUGACUACAUCAACCAUUUCAACGCCGUAACCUUGGAGGUGAGGAACUAGGAUCAGUCUGUGGUAAUGACCGCAUUGAAGGUCGGACUUCCAUAGAGUGACCUCCUUUUCUCACUCAACCUGAACUAUCCAAAGGAUUUCAUCGAGAUGUUAGAAUGGGUGGAGAGAUAUGCUCAGGUUGAGGAAGCAUGGGAUCGGCAAGGGGAGAACCUCAGUGGUAGAUCAUAGUUGAAUGUCGGAUAGG
Molecule: long non-coding RNA, 290 nt
Filed under: Elaeis guineensis (African oil palm)
Lineage: Eukaryota; Viridiplantae; Streptophyta; Magnoliopsida; Arecales; Arecaceae
Description: long non-coding RNA (EGUI_LNC027627)
Source: RNAcentral